RNAcentral lists this ribosomal RNA (253 nucleotides) under uncultured bacterium. Its description in RNAcentral is "partial 16S ribosomal RNA". It matches the Rfam family "Bacterial small subunit ribosomal RNA", at positions 524 to 776 of the family's 1533-position model. The record is from RNAcentral.
UACGUAGGUGGCAAGCGUUGUCCGGAUUUACUGGGCGUAAAGCGCGCGCAGGCGGACUGAUCAGUCUGGGGUGAAAUCUCCCGGCUCAACUGGGAGCGGUCCCUGGAUACUGUCAGUCUUGAGAGACCUAGAGGAGAGCGGAAUUCCCGGUGUAGUGGUGGAAUGCGUAGAUAUCGGGAGGAACACCGAUGGCGAAGGCAGGUCUCUGGGCCAUUACUGACACUGAGAAGCGAAAGCAUGGGGAGCGAACAGG